RNAcentral lists this Y RNA (101 nucleotides) under Macaca nemestrina (pig-tailed macaque). Its description in RNAcentral is "Y RNA (ENSMNEG00000005959.1)". It matches the Rfam family "Y RNA". From Rfam's summary of the family: Y RNAs are components of the Ro ribonucleoprotein particle (Ro RNP), in association with Ro60 and La proteins. The Y RNAs and Ro60 and La proteins are well conserved, but the function of the Ro RNP is not known. Lineage: Eukaryota; Metazoa; Chordata; Mammalia; Primates; Cercopithecidae. The record is from Rfam by way of RNAcentral.
GGCUGAUUUGAGUGCAGUGGUAUUUACAACAAACUGAUCACAACCAGUUACAGAUUUAUUUGUUCCUUCUCCUCCCGACUGCUUUCACUUGAUAGCCUUUG